Molecule: small nucleolar RNA, 79 nt
Organism: Lutra lutra (Eurasian river otter)
Lineage: Eukaryota; Metazoa; Chordata; Mammalia; Carnivora; Mustelidae
Product: small nucleolar RNA SNORD45
Exons: 1
Source: RefSeq, a predicted model, not a curated record
GGUCAAUGAUGAGCUGGCAUGUAUUCUGAAUCCUAAGCUGAUUAUUACUACUUUAGCUCUAGAAUUACUCUGAGACCUG